This 1838-nucleotide long non-coding RNA is filed under the name Triticum aestivum (bread wheat). RNAcentral's name for it is "long non-coding RNA (TAES_LNC009601)". Lineage: Eukaryota; Viridiplantae; Streptophyta; Magnoliopsida; Poales; Poaceae. The record is from RNAcentral.
AGAGGUGGGCGAUGGAUUCUGCUGGACUUUUUUUUUCCUUGCGCGGGUUCUUUUGCCAUCUAGAAAACCGAGUGGGGGAGAGGAGCGGCACUAGGCAGGAUGUGAAACGGAAGAGGCGGACGAAAGGAACGGGCAAAAAGUUUUUUGACGUGAUAGGAAACCUUACUCUUUUUUUGGUAAGUAGAGAUGGUCCGUUCUGUCCUCUAGGAAACCUUUAUUGUUGAGUUGUUCCUUUGUGCUACUGUUCCUCUUUUUGUUUUUUCCCCUUUUGGUGUCUUCCUUCCCUGUUUUGUAGUUCCAUUUUGCACUGGAUUUUGGCAGUGGCAAAGUAAUAAACUUAUCACUGGCGUGCACUCAUUUGACCUUUUGCUUUGUGCACACAAUCAUGCAUUAAUCUUUGGUUAUGUUGCUAUUAUUUUGCAGUCAGAUGCAUCUUUUGUGAAUAGCUCUUGUAGAGUUAAUCAGUGGGCUAUGGAAAAUUUACCCCUCACUCUAUAGAUUGGUUGGUUUGAGGCUUAGUACUCCCUCCAUUCCUAAAUAUAGGGUGUAUAGUUUUUGGCACGGAAAUUAAAGAAUGCACAUGGAGGAAAAAUUUCACAAGUUUUGGGCAAGACUACACCUGACUAAUUAAUAUGAGAAAAUAGAGGAGCUUGCCCUGUGUAAGGAAAUGUAAUCAAAUCCCUUAAAAAGUUAUUCAAAUGAGUGGUGCAAGGCAAUACACCUUAUAUUUUGAACUUUUUCUCAAAAAUCUAUACACCUUAUAUCAAGGAACGGAGGGAGUAUAUAUUUUCUCCCUGAAUGCUAUAUAGUAUUUACAAAAAAAAUGCUCUCAAUAAUGUCCAUGCCUCUAAAUUUUUUUUGAAGAUUAAAUUCAGUUAGCUAAGUUUCAUUAUAUGGAUUUCUAACAGUUUAAUCUGCAGAAUGUUUUCAGACUAUCAGCUGAUUUUGCUGUAAGAUCAUGAAUCACAAGAAUCGUCACCUCUGUUUGGUUAAUCUAUCUAAUUUUGCUAUUUCUCCAUUGGUUUGUUGCUUUAAAAGCCAUGUUUGAAUUGUCUUUAUAUUUGAUUAACUGUACUAUGUACAUUAUAAUAUUAUGUACUUUGGUGAAGUACGGCCUCUAUUGUUUGCUUCUAGUAGCUCCCAAAUUGCCAUUUUUCUGAUUGCCUUUUUUGACCAACAAAGACUGAAACUCAUUUUUGCCAUUUUUCUGAUCCUGUUAUAUCUUUUUUAUGUUUAUGUCAUUUUCUUGGAUAUAAUGAAGUCAGUGCAUUUUGUUGUUUCCUUGAAACUCAUUUUUUGGGAUUUACUUGGUUUCUUACCAUGUAUCUUGUGGUACAAGCAAUAACUCUGUAUGAGUUUGCGUUGGUAUGCAGGGUUACUUGGCAUGUCAAAGAACCACAAUCCAUAACUGGCCCUGCAAGCAUCUCAGUUCUUGUAGGUUUAUGAAGGUGAGCGCCCUGUUGGCAAAAUAGGGCAUGCGAUCUUCUUAUGUCAAACCCUUGUUAAUCAAUUUGCAUCGUGGAAUGUCUUGAUGAAUGUACAUAUCUGGAAAGUUACUCUAUUCUGCUGGUGCAGGCUGGAAUGCUGUUAUAUCCAUUGAUGUCUUUGAGCAUUUUCUCCAUUGAUGUCAAUCGUGUCACUUUUUCCUUUCUAAAUAGGCAAAUAUCAGUAUAUGACAUUUCCCAGGAAAAGGCUCACGGCCAUUCUAAAAGGAAAUGAAUAAAGAAAAAAAGGAAAAAGAAAAGGACGGAAUUAGCUGCAAACGUUUGUCCCCACGGGUUGACAUUUACAAAUGAUUUGCCAAGAGCCAUGCAGUGCCCGCACGACAAUGUUUUGCC